GAUGAACGCUGGCGGCGUGCCUAAUACAUGCAAGUCGAGCGAACAGACGAGGAGCUUGCUCCUCUGACGUUAGCGGCGGACGGGUGAGUAACACGUGGAUAACCUACCUAUAAGACUGGGAUAACUUCGGGAAACCGGAGCUAAUACCGGAUAAUAUAUUGAACCGCAUGGUUCAAUAGUGAAAGACGGUUUUGCUGUCACUUAUAGAUGGAUCCGCGCCGCAUUAGCUAGUUGGUAAGGUAACGGCUUACCAAGGCAACGAUGCGUAGCCGACCUGAGAGGGUGAUCUGCCACACCGGGACUGAGACACGGUCCAGACUCCUACGGGAGGCAGCAGUAGGGAAUCUUCCGCAAUGGGCGAAAGCCUGACGGAGCAACGCCGCGUGAGUGAUGAAGGUCUUCGGAUCGUAAAACUCUGUUAUUAGGGAAGAACAAAUGUGUAAGUAACUAUGCACGUCUUGACGGUACCUAAUCAGAAAGCCACGGCUAACUACGUG
RNAcentral lists this ribosomal RNA (497 nucleotides) under uncultured bacterium. Its description in RNAcentral is "partial 16S ribosomal RNA". It matches the Rfam family "Bacterial small subunit ribosomal RNA", at positions 28 to 507 of the family's 1533-position model. The record is from RNAcentral.